UAUUUUUUUUUACAAAUAUUUGCACUGUUAAACAAAAGACAUAGUAUUUUUCAAUUCACCUCAUACCAGUACUGUAGUGCAAUCUCUUUGUUGUAAAUGUGCAAUUUACAAAUGUAGAUUUUUUUUGUUACAUGACUGCGCUCAAAAGCAAAACAAUGUAAAACUUUAGAGCCUAGAUGUCCACUCAGUCCUACUUCUUGUUCAGCCAAUCGCUAAGACAUUAAUUAAAUUAAUUAAUUAAUAAGGUCACAAGGGAGCUGCCCCUCAUCAGCUGCUCAAGACUGUGGAUUUGGGCACAGGUCAAUUCACUAAACAGCUGCUGUGAUUCCCCCGCCACAUUUCUCCUUCCAGGGGCGAGAUCAGUUUAUUAAACAGCCUGACCUAAAAAAAUCAAAGUGGAGCCGGGAGGCGGCCGGGCAUCGUGUCCAUCACUCGGUAGCUGAGGCGCGUCCGCCAGCAGGGGUCGCCUCACGCCCUGGAAAUCCGCUCCAGCGCUGCAGGCACCUGGGGCUGGGUUUGUUCGCGGCUCUAUUGCUAUCGCAACGGGAGCUUCGUGUCGCAGGAGAGGGACGCGCAGGUCCCGCCAGCCAGAGCGCGCAGCUCCCUUGCCUGCAGCCGGGGCUUCCCCUGCGUCCUUGUCUGGUGCUGGCCGAGCAGGCCUGGCAGAGGGCGCUGCCCCUCCCUGGGAGCCGCUGGAGGAGGAUGCGCUCAGAGCCGCGCCAUGGGGAGCUCGGUGAGGAAGGGCAAAGCGGUGCUGCCGGCAGAACAGGCUGCCCGCCCGAGCAGGGAGCAGCCCCACCGAGCAGCGUACUUCCUGGGCACAGACGCUGUCUCUGGUAUCCCCAUCUCUCCGCAGACAAGCUGGAGGAUGCAUUUAUCCCAUUGCUGUGUUCGGGCAAGAUCUGUUCAGCAACAGAAGAUUAUCACCAUGAAGCUCAGACUGCAAACAAUGGACAAGCCAUUACAGCUUCCUGCAAAAAUAAAGAUACAGACCUGCAGUUUAAAAUACAGGCCUACAUAGAUAAAAACACUGUUAUGAUCUUCAGUAACACAGCGUGCAGUCUGUCUGCUAAGGUAAAAUGUUAAUUUUCACGCAGAGAUAUACAGGAUUUGUCAUAUCUUACAAGUUCACUGUUCUUCAUUUCACUAAUGUAACUGAGUUGCAAGAUCCCAUUGACUUCAGCAUGGCUCCACAUGGGCACAGGAGUCUGUCCAUGUGAAGUCAUUUUCAAUGAAACAGGUCUUAGUUGCUGUCUCCUCUACUUUUCCUAGUCCAACCAUAGCCAGAACCAUCUUUCUAUUUUUUUCCCUGCAAAGUGUAUGUCUGGUCUCUAAUCCCAGCUACAGAUUGCUCCUGUGUCUGGCACCCAUCCCGCUGUCCCUGACAAAUAUCUGGUCCUGACCUUCCAGCUCAUAGGCCUCAGUUCAGCAAAGUACUUCAGCAUGCGCUUAAGUUUAAUU
RNAcentral lists this long non-coding RNA (1461 nucleotides) under Chrysemys picta bellii (western painted turtle). RNAcentral's name for it is "lncRNA (ENSCPBG00000012735.1)". The record is from RNAcentral. Lineage: Eukaryota; Metazoa; Chordata; Testudines; Emydidae.